AACGACCCUGAGAGGCACAACUUGUGCCGUUGGGGUCAGAGGUCAGGAGGAACCAGAGAGUGCAGACUGCUCAGGGUCAACAGGAAUGCUCUGCUUGUGAUGGUGGCGCCUGGAACCAGGCUGAUGGAAGCUCCAUUCAGCAUGUGCCCUUGGAAGAAGAAAGCGGAGAGACCAGCACGAGCAGUCAAAUGUUUCCACCUGGAAAUGACGCACACGACUUUGGCUCACAUUUCAUUGGAGCACCCAUGUAAGACCUCAGCUGGACCAAUUAGACAGGGUGGGAUUGCCAUUUGUGAACCUGGAAGCCAGGAGAUCCACUCUGGACCAACCUCAUUCCAUUUACAAGUUUGUCAUGCAGUACAAGGGAGUGGAUUUCCUGAGGAACUCGUGAAGUCCCAUCUCCUUCCCUCCUCAUGCGACUGAAUCUUGCCAACUGGAGUGGAGGGAAGUCAGACAGACAGCGUUUCAAGUGCCUUAUCCACUCCUCAUAUGCUCUCUUUGAAGUUUUUCUUUCACUCAUCAGUGGUAGGAUAUAAAACGUGGAGAGCAAGGGCUAUGUGUGGAUACAGUGAGAAGGCAGCCGUCUAUCUCCAAGCCAUGAAGAGAGGCCUCACCAGAAACUAAACCUACUGGCAUCUUGAUCUUGGACUUCAAGCCUCCAGAACUUCUUCAUCAGUUGACACUUGGGAUUUGUGUAGCGUGGAUGGCGGGGAUGGCGAUGUGUUCGUGGAAGGAGAAGGAGGAGGAAGAGGAAGGUGGAAGGCAGGGAAGUCACACAAUCCAGGAAAUUGUGAAUGAUCCUGUUGUAAAGAAGACUCUGGUUACCAAGAAUUCUUCAUGCAUGGAGACAAGUAUUUCUUUGGAGAAGGAUACACGGCUAGUCGUGUGGCCUGAGCACAUCACUGGGCUCCUGCAGUCUUUUCUGAAGUCUGGUGUGGGACUUCAGAGGAGACUUCAGGAGAGUUGAGCUUCACCAUUAAAUACUGAUCUUUACAGCAGUUUCAUUAACUUCUGUAGAGAUAAAUUACAUCCUUAUUUACUUGGCAAUCUUAGAACGUUGGGUAAUUAGAGUCUACCUUACUUUACCUUCUGCCAUGUCUGUG
RNAcentral lists this long non-coding RNA (1103 nucleotides) under Equus caballus (horse). RNAcentral's name for it is "lncRNA (ENSECAG00000052522.1)". The record is from RNAcentral. Lineage: Eukaryota; Metazoa; Chordata; Mammalia; Perissodactyla; Equidae.